Molecule: ribosomal RNA, 402 nt
Filed under: uncultured Rhizobium sp.
Lineage: Bacteria; Pseudomonadati; Pseudomonadota; Alphaproteobacteria; Hyphomicrobiales; Rhizobiaceae
Description: bacterial SSU rRNA
Rfam family: Bacterial small subunit ribosomal RNA
Source: RNAcentral
UGGGGAAUAUUGGACAAUGGGCGCAAGCCUGAUCCAGCCAUGCCGCGUGAGUGAUGAAGGCCCUAGGGUUGUAAAGCUCUUUCACCGGAGAAGAUAAUGACGGUAUCCGGAGAAGAAGCCCCGGCUAACUUCGUGCCAGCAGCCGCGGUAAUACGCAGGGGGCUAGCGUUGUUCGGAAUUACUGGGCGUAAAGCGCACGUAGGCGGAUCGAUCAGUCAGGGGUGAAAUCCCAGGGCUCAACCCUGGAACUGCCUUUGAUACUGUCGAUCUGGAGUAUGGAAGAGGUGAGUGGAAUUCCGAGUGUAGAGGUGAAAUUCGUAGAUAUUCGGAGGAACACCAGUGGCGAAGGCGGCUCACUGGUCCAUUACUGACGCUGAGGUGCGAAAGCGUGGGGAGCAAACA